UGACAGGUUUGCCAUCCCCAGGGAAGGACAACAUACACAAACACCAGAGCAAACAUUAUCUGUGCAGGUGGGUGGGAAAACCUUAAAAUAGUCCAUGAUAGAGAUAUGCUGUCUGCAUGACAGAGAUAUGCACAUUGCUCUGACAGGUCAGUAAAAGCUUGUUUCUAGUAGUGCACUGGGCGACCAAAGGUGCCUUCGGGGGAUGACGGCAGUAAUUAUCAUCAUGGCACGACACCGUUUUAUAGUAGAGGUGGAUAUGUCAAGAAAGAUCUUUAUACGAAAAAAGGGUCUCAACCUUGGAGCAGCGGCAAACGGCAGCUUCACAGCAAUCUUUGCAAGAAGAAGUGUCGACUGAAAGACUACAAAAGGACUGACUUGGAGUGUGACAGUUAGAGCCACAACGUUACAGAAGAACAGAUCCUCAAAAUGAGAAAAAACAACAACAACAACAACAACAUGGACUUAACAGCAGUGCAGCGACUACUCCCUAGGACUCCUCUGGCUCCCUCGUCCCUCCGGCUCAGCCUCAGUCAGUCAUUGCACUGCCUCCGCCACGGACUUCCGGGUCUCUGGCUACACCUCGACACCCCACCCCUUCGUCUCCUCCGAGCUCCUCCUCCCUCUGGUUUCCCUGUUGGGGAUUGCCCCAAUAAAUGCCAGUUCUUUAAUGGUCUUAACCACUUCAGCACUCUGAUCAGGGAGGAGCCAUCAUAUUUUUUCCACCUUUUAUUUGUGUGCAGGGUUUCACCAUAUACACAUACUGAUUAUGCAUUGGAGGUAGUUUCUGCAAUAAAUAAAUAAACAGCAGUAAAUAACUAAAUAUCAAACAUGAAUAUCUACAUGAGCCAUUCCAACGAAUGGGUGACAUUUAUGUCCCCAGGACAUUGUAUGUAUAAAUAUGCAUGAAAAUUAGCUCUAAAAUACAUUUUAUUAUUAAGCAAAGUGUCCUGAACAUUAAUCUAACUGCACAUUUAAAAUAUAUAAUUUAAAAGCAUUAUUAAAAACUACUCAGAACACAAAAAAAUAGCAUUUGUUACAUGUCCCCGCUACCUAAACCUAAACUUUAUCAUGAAAUAUAAUCAUUAAAAUCUUUCACAAAUCUUUUUUUUUUUUUUUUUUUUGUAUUGUUGUGUGACUCCAUAUACCAUCUAUGCUAAACAAAAAGAAAUUUCAUGAGAAAUCCAUAAUAUAUCAUAUAAAAUACAAAUUUUAAUCGUGUCCCCAGUUUUUCACUCAGUCCUGUUACCCUCACACACUGCCCCUUCUAAAAAACUUGGAACAUGCCACAUGACACAUUUUCAACAGGAAGUUGCAUCUGGAUAAUAUGCAGGCCAUGAGAAGACCAAAAGGAUUGUGGGGUGUAGGAGGUGUAAGAGGAUGCUGAAGAUGAUGUUGGAUGUCUUGAUGGCAAAGGCAAGCCUCGGUAUCUUGGGGUACGAGAAGCAGCGUGGCUGGGCCGAUGACCACACGGUGUUGCUUGAGGCUCGGUUUCAGUGUCCUGUUGAGCGCGAGUGCUCCUUGCAUCAGUGAGAUGCAGUGAAGAAUCCUGGACAACAAGGGAAUCGUCAUCGAAUGGGAAGAGUUCAGUUGUUGACAUUGUAACAAAUGGGUGGGGCCAGAUGCUGAAAACUGGCAAGGAACAUAGAAAGAACACAGAAGUGUGAUGUACAAGAGCUGCUAACAGAUGGCAUGAGUCAUUGGGGCCAGAACACUCCAGCGGAGCCACUUGAGGAGCAGCAGUUCACUAACACAUGGGAGUAACACCUCAGGAGCAGGAGUGCUGCAGAUGGACUCAGUGUUAUAGUUGUCUGUCUCAUUCCAAAAAGAUUUUUUUUCAUCCCUAAGUUAAAUCUGUGGUAAUUUCCCAAGGUUUUUUUUUUUUUUUUUUUUUUUGCUCGCAGAUGGUGUUCUUCUCUGAUGAAACAGCUAACAGAAAACUAUGCAACUGAAAGUGAAAACUGCAUCUAUCUUUAAAUCUAUGAUGUGCCCAUACUACUGAAAUACUGUGAACGUGUCAUGCUGUUGCUUAAUCUAUAGGAGUUCUUUGUUCAUUUUCAUAGGGGCAACAUGAAGCCGCUUUCUCCUGUGGUGUAGUCAACGUCAAGGUCAUUUUGAAGUUCAGCACUCACAAUCACUUUUUCUGACAGGUUUUAACAAGCCACUAACCUGACCCAGCUUUAGAAAUACUCAGUUUGUUAGUUCAGAAUAUGACAGUGUUCUUUUUUCCCAGUCAUCUGAAUAGCAAAAAGUGUCCCAAUUAACCCAAAUUCACCCUAUAUGAAUAUUUGUAUUAUUAUUUUGAAUAAUUUUUAUGAUUUUUAAUGAAUAUUUAUGAAUGUUUGUAUUGUUCUUGUAUUAUUAUUCAAAUCAGUCAAAUUAUAUAUAUAUAGUA
Long non-coding RNA from Ctenopharyngodon idella (grass carp), 2392 nucleotides. RefSeq lists it as uncharacterized. Lineage: Eukaryota; Metazoa; Chordata; Actinopteri; Cypriniformes; Xenocyprididae. The record is from RefSeq and is a predicted model, not a curated record. The transcript is spliced from 4 exons.